This 41380-nucleotide long non-coding RNA is filed under the name Citrus maxima (pomelo). Its description in RNAcentral is "long non-coding RNA (CMAX_LNC001615)". Lineage: Eukaryota; Viridiplantae; Streptophyta; Magnoliopsida; Sapindales; Rutaceae. The record is from RNAcentral.
UUUGUGGGCCUCUUUGUAGCUCAAAUCCUCUAACAACGGUUGAGUGGUAUCUGGUGUUCACUUCUUUGUGCAUUGUUCUCUCUCAGCUUCCAAACCUCAACUCAAUUGCAGGGCUGUCACUGAUAGGAGCUAUAACAGCCGUCACUUACUCCACCAUGGUGUGGGUGCUCUCUGUUAGCCAACCAAGGCCGCCUAACAUCUCUUACGAACCACUUUCAUCCGCAUCCCCUGCAGCCACUGUCUUCUCUGUCAUGAAUGCACUUGGGAUUAUUGCUUUUGCGUUUAGAGGGCACAAUUUAGCUAUGGAAAUUCAGGUAUAUCUGCACUUUGUGAUUUUUGAACCACUUAGCAAAACAUGUUACAUUCGAAGGUAGUUAAUUUUGUUUUCUAAGGAACUUAUUUGCCUUUUUUCAGGCUACAAUGCCAUCAACCUUUAAGCAUCCUGCUCACGUGCCCAUGUGGAGAGGAGCCAAAGUUGCCUAUUUAUUCAUUGCCAUGUGCUUGUUCCCAGUUGCCAUUGGAGGUUUUUGGGCUUAUGGAAAUCUUGUAAGUACACUUAAUGCCAAGGCACAUAACAAGUUCACAAUAGGAAAGAAGAAAGAAUUACUUGACGUUCUUGCAUAUGUUGAGAAAUGUAGAAAGUCUCAAUUGCAAAGAAGCCCCCGAGUUAUCAAAUAGAAGAGCAAUACAUUUUAUCUUGCUAGUUGCUACUUUCAAAUAAAAAUUUUUAUGGUUAGGUUGGUAGAAUUUAUCCGAAAAUAUAUCAUAUCUCUCUCUCGAGAUAUUUCUUUUAAAUUAUGUACUACUCCAAAAUUAUUGUGAAUUGACACCUAUAAUGAGAUGCUACUUUUCUAAUAUGAAAAUGCUGUAAUAUAAUAAUGGAUUUUAUGUAGAUAUCGUGAAUGAUGUAGUUGAUCGCCCUUGUCUGUUUAUGAUUCAGUUCAUUCUUAAUCUUUUUUUUGUUUUCUUGUUUUAGAUGCCUUCGGGAGGGAUGCUCCGUGCAUUGUUUCAAUUUCACAGCCACGAUAUAUCAAGAGGACUUCUUGCAGUGACUUUUCUCCUUGUUGUAUUCAACUGUUUAAGUAGCUUUCAAAUAUACUCAAUGCCUGUUUUCGACAGCUUUGAAGCAAGCUACACCAGCCGCACCAACCGACCGUGCUCAAUCUGGGUUCGAUCUGGUUUCCGGGUUUUCUAUGGAUUUGUCUCAUUCUUCAUAGGCGUGGCACUCCCUUUCCUCUCCAGCCUUGCCGGUCUCUUGGGAGGACUCACUCUUCCGGUCACUUUUGCUUACCCAUGCUUCAUGUGGGUGCUAAUAAAAAAGCCUACGAAAUACAGCUUCAACUGGUAUUUCAAUUGGAUCCUGGGUUGGUUGGGAGUCGCCUUUAGCUUGGCCUUCUCCAUUGGCGGUCUUUGGAGUAUAGUGAACAGUGGACUUAAGUUGAAAUUCUUCAAGCCCAGUUGACAAACAGUCAGUAGUACUAGCUAAAGGGAAUGUCGAAACUCUGUAAAAUCAAUGGAGAUUCAUUUCGUAUUUGUUGUUGUUUCGUACAAUUUUAAACUUCCAUGUAUGCACAUGUUACUUAUGGUGCAGGCAGCACCCGUUUCAUGUAAGUUUUAUUGUUCGAUUUUCUUCUCCUAAUCACUUUGAUUUAAAGUAGUGAAAAGAAAUACGGAACGUAUGGUCUGAAGAUUCUGAAGAUAUUGAGAGUGCACUUUAUAAAGAAUAGGCCCAAAUCCAGCUAACAACAUCUUUUUUUUUUUUUUAAGUAAAUCUUAGUCUACGUUAAUUGAUUAGCUUUGCCAUUAGCGGUUUGCAGUUGCUUUCAGAUGAUUGCUGCUUUCCACCAUGGAACUGCACUGCGCGCAGGUUUUAGCUCUGUCAUCAUUCGAAAAGAUAAGCUCAAUGAAGCAAGCCAUCAAAAGUUAGGUAGCGAAAUUUGUUAGGCAUGCGGAUUUUGUAAGGCUUCAUUGUCACUUGCCACUGUCACAUUCUACAGAGCAGGCAAACAUAAUCAAAAUGGAAACAUGAAUCAUGAAUGCCGUUGCUGCAUUGAUUACAUUUGAAAAACAAAUUCUGUGUUCGGAGAAAAUGGGAUAGUUCGGGUGGUCAUCAUCUAAAGGGUUCUAUUGCAAUGAUUCAAGGUUUAAUUGACUCUCAGCAUCAAUAUAGCUUAGAAACAACCACCGACCAAAUGAUAAUGUUCCUCAUUUGUCCAUGGGGUUAAAACAUCACGGACCAUCAAUAAUUACUCAUUUCAUUGCCACUCCAGUGGCACCGAAACAGGUGUUUCCGUUUGAGGACGACAUCUCAUGCCGGCACAUGGACAUGGUUUCAAUUUAAUUGGAUUAGAAGGUGAAAUCCUGUUAAUGUAGAGCAACAUAUUGUGCGACCCACGAUACAAUAAAAUCUUUUUCGCCCAGUGAAUGUGACAGCAGUCUUGAUUAUUCCAACUAUACCACGCCUCUUAGUAAACAAAUGAAAGAAACAAAAUUUAUCUGUCGGAUCGGAGAAAGAACAAAGAAGAAGCCAUUAACAACUAUUUUUUUAUUGAGCAUCGUUCACUACUAAACGAAUAAAAAAAACGUUUUGACUGCGUCUGUGGCUGUCAAUUUUUUUUAAUAAUUAUUUUUCUUUUUUUCUGGACAUCCAUUUUGUUACUUUUUAUAUGAAUACGUUUUUCAUAUCUACUCCAGUAUGGCAGUAUCACACAACUAUCAGACCCAUGAACCAACUUGGACGGUAAAUCACUGUUCUAAUUAGGUAAUGGCCAAACAUGAAGGUGAGCCCGGCAGCCUUCCAAUAUUAUUUCUUAUUCAUUCAACCUACAAGAUCGGAUUGGGUUGGAUUAACCCUUGGGAUUAGAUUAGGGAAAAAGUUCUUCUCAACUCUAAAAUUUCAUUCAAUAAUCCAUUUUAUCCUUACUUUUUAAAUAAUAACCCAAAACAUCCUUCCGUUAACUCACCGUUAAUUGAAUAUUGUUUGUUAGUAAUUCAUUAAGAGUAAAAAAAGAUUUUUCAUUAAAGAGAAAAUAAAAGUUGACAUAUAACUAAAAAUAAUUUUAUCUGAUCCAACUAAAUAGGAAAUACCGAAAAAGAUGAAAAACUUAUAUUUCAAGAAAUUCAUUUUUCAUUUCUUUCUAUUUUGGCGGCAUGAAAGUCCUAAAAACCCUAAAUAUUAGUACUAAAAAUAUCAUAAUUUUUUUAUUCAUAUAAGUAUACUCUCUAAUUGCACUGUAAAAUGGGUUGGUUGAGUUGAAGAUAAAGAGAUAUUCAGCACAUACAAGCACAUAAAAUUUAGUGGUAUUUUUGAGUUUUUAAUUACAGUUUGUUCAUUCUGACAAUUAUUCAAUAUGUAUAUCAAAUUAUAUCAUCGUUGAUUUCAUUUACAAAAAAGUUAAUGAAUUUUGCAUAUUUUGUAGUGUUAUUUAAUUGUGUAAUUUUUUUUAAUAUAGUUAGUAUUACUUUAAUGAAAAAUCUUAUUUUGCCCUCAAUAAAUUACUAGUUAACGGUUUUGCACUAAUGGUGAGUUAACAGAAGGAUAUUUUAGGCUAUUAUUUAAAAAGUAUGGAUGAAAUAAGCUAUUGCAUGAAAUUCUAUGGAUGAAAAAUGCUUUUUCCCAUUAGAUUAAAUUAUAUUAUAUUAGAUUAUCUAGUAUUGUCUUUUGUUUGGUAUAAUAUUGAAUAAGACUAUGUUAAGUUUAAUUUAAUAAAAUUAAAAAAAUUAUUUAAAUAAUAUAUUAUUUUUUAAAUCAUAUUACUAUUUGUUAAAUUUAAUGUUUAGAUUACAAUAUUAUUGUAAUUAAGUAAUCCAAUAAAUUUUUAUGUUUAAUAUAUUAUAUACUAGUUAAAAUAAAUUAUUGAAUAAACUUUUGAUAUUAAUAGCAAAUUUAGACUAUAGAAUAUCUAAUCCUAUCUAAACCCAUGUGAAAAUAGAUAUUAAUAAUCUUAUAAAUGUUGGACUAAAACUUAGAUUAAUUUAUUAAUCAUGACAGCCAAAUAUAACUCUAAAUUGGACUAAUUUUUUUAUCCUUCAAAUUAGUGUAAUCCCACCUUUUAUACAACAUCCGAAAAUAGCCUCAUUAGUCAUAGGUCACACAGAUUAUAUGUUGGGUCAUGGGUGUGCAAGAUUUUACGUCUAAAUUAAAGAAUAUAUUUAUAUUCAGAAAAAAUCAUCCCACUUUCUCCAAAAAAGAGAAAAAAUCAUACCACCAGAAAAUAAUAAUAAUAAAAAAAAAAUUGACCAUCAGAGCUUAAGAACAUUGAGGUCGGUGAGCUAGGAGGCGCACAAUUCAGCAAUUCCAUGCGCUUACUCAUCAAAGUCAAAGCGCAACUAAGAAAGUAAUGUUCAUUAAUUAAUUUUAUUUUGCAGAAAGCAGGUUUAGAUAUUUGGCUCCAUCUGCCUGCCCUUACUGAAGACAGCAUAGCCAGCCAAAAAAUCCAAGUUAACAAGUUGGUUGCACUUGCACACUUGGUGAUCAUCGAGUCUCUGCUCCCGCUGACAUUCUUAGAAAACUGGAAUUUCGAAUUCAUACGCAUUCACCAGACCAGAUUCUUCUACCGAAUUAAAAAUUACCUAAUCUAAAAAACUUUUUCUUUUUUCUUUUGUCCUGAAGAUAACAAUAAAAUGGAGAACUGUUCAGGUUAGCCCCUAAUGCAUGCCAUCUAAACAGCAAUCCACUUGAAAAAUCAAAAGAUCGAUGCAGAAAAACUCUCCUUUUAGUCUAAUUUGUUCUUCCACUGAUGCGAAGGAUUUACAAAACCAAACAUGCACGAACAAACAAACAAACCCUAAAACAGAGACACAACAACUGUGACUAUUGCAAUCCAAGUACUGAAUUUCUUUCUUCUAAUGUUUGUUAUAUGAUGAUCCUAUAAAUUCUCUGUACCUACCAAGCACUGGAUCCUACGACCACAAUCAUGAUAACACCACCAAUAACCGCUGGACCAAAAUCCAAAGAAAUUAAAAAGACAAAAAGGCUUCUCCUUUCCUCCCAUUGAAAUUUGAUAAAGCAAGCAAACACCCCUUUUUUUUUAAUUUUUAACUUGGAACUUUUCUUACUUCAAGUCCUUCCCAGCUGGCGUGGAAAUGGCAAGACCAGACCAACCAAAGCAAUCUUCACCAACGUCAUUACCACCUUGAUCAUCGCCGUUCAUCAUCUGCCACGUGUUGCAUCCAGAAGCAGCAGCACCACUCCCACCGCCAGUGCAAGCGUAACCGGCUCCAGGGACAUCCCAACUCCGUGCAGUACCAAAACCAAGCUCCAAUUCUUCAAGACCCGACCCGAUACCAUACCCAUGAUUGUGAAACCCACCAAGUCCAAGAAAAUUCUGGCCUUGAAUUUGCAUAUUCAACAUAGUAGUGUAGCUUCCACUACCGGGGACGCCGACACUAUCGUUCAGGUUCACAUCAGUCAUCGUAAUUAAGCCCAUUUCAGGGUUACCACAAGGCAAAACCGAAACAGGGUUAGCGGGUUCGGCCACACGAUCAUGGAUAACAGCUGAGGAACAAGAUGAAGAAUUGGUGGUGGCAACAACAGCGCCAGAAGAAGACGAAGAGCUAAUGCGGGUGCGCUUGGAGUUCUUGCGAGUGCCACCACCAACGGGGAUGUUGCGGAGAGUCCCACCUUGAGUCCAGUAGCGGCGGCACGACUUGCAGAAGUGACGAGGCUGAGAGAGGUUGUAGUUGUUGUAGUAGCAGAAUUUGGUGCUCGUUGAUUCGCACCUUGGGCACGGCAGUGACUCGGUUACCUUUGGGGGUGGGUAUGUGCUUAUGGGGUUAUGGGCUCGAGCUAGUUUCCGGUCAGUUGAUUCCGAUGGCAUUUUGCGGGGUGUUUGUGAACAAACGAACGUAUAAAUAAUUAAUGUUUAAUUUUGGAAGAAAGUGGUGUGAAUGAGAGUGAAAAGCUUUUUCAGUCUCAAUAGCUUAGCAGAGCUAUAGCUAUAGCGUAUGAGUGAAGACAUACAUAAGUAACUCACUAUAUAAGAGAUAAAAUGGGGCCACGCCAACAACAACUCACAACAAUCCUCGCGGUGAAGAAGGGUUUCUGUACGACGUUUUGUAUUGGCUCGGCUGCGUGGCUAGGCGGCUUGUUUUUUUUUUUCCAAAAAACUUAUAAUUAAUUGUUUUGGUGAUGUGGCCCCGUUUUGUUUAACAGGCAAUUAACUGUAUCAUAUAAUAAAUAAAGAAAAAUUAUCAUUUGUAUACCCUUAAUUUAUUUUAUUAUAAAAAAUAUUAUAAUAUUUUAAGAGUGUAUCAAUCGUCUACUUUAAAUUGACAAAAUAUAUUAACUUACCACCAAAUUGUUAGUUGCCGUUUAAGUACGAUGACAUCAAAAGGAUAAUUUGAUCUUUUCAUAUGAUGUAAGUGAUAAUUUAAAGAUAUACAAGUGAUAAAAAGAGAAUUUAAGGGUAUAUAAGUGAUAAUUUUUAAGGGUAAAAUUAUUAAUUUACUGUAAUUCAAUUAACUUUCAAACGACAACUAAUGGUUAUGUGGUCGGCUGAUACAUUUUGUUAACUAAUGGUGAACGAUUGAUACACCCUUAAAAUAUUAUAAUAUUUUUAAUAACAAAACAAAUAUAGAGUAUAUGAAUGAUAAUUUCUCAUAAAUAAAUAAUAUUAUGGUAUGUGAGUAUUUAUUAAAAAUUAUAAUAAAAAUAAGAGAUAUAUCAAAUGUAUUUAUACACUCCGUACUAAUAUUUUAAAAUUUCUCUUGUGUAAAUGUACAAAUCUAACCGGUUGCAGAAGCCAAUUGCUAGUUGCUUCAACAAAGAGUCCUUAAGCAGAGUCUUUAAUAUGCAUACAUACGAAUCAGUAUGUAUGUAAUUUGACUGACAACUAAGAUGAAAGUUAAAGGCUAUAUUAGCUGGGGAUGGAGGAGAUUAAGUCGAGGGCUGGUCAUCAGAUUCAGCCUUUUCUUCUAGAGCUGGCUCAACUCAACCGUCGGAGGUGGGGGAGAGAGAGAGAGAGAGAGUGCGUGAAAUGAAAUUAGGAUUGAAGAGAACCGACAGCAUGAUUGUUGUCGGGCAGCGUGGGAAACAAUAAUUGGGUUUGCCUGCUGCGUUACGAGGCUCAAUGGCUUCCCUACUCCUCUACUCCUUGGCCCUUGCAUAUCAAAGAUUCUCUCAUCAUCUGUCACCGGAUUUUUCGGUUCUGUAAUCUCUGCUCCUCCCUUUGAUUUUGCUCCUCUCUUUUGUCCCCUCUACAUAUGUACGACGUGUAUAUCCAUCCCCUUGUUGUGUUAUUAUUAUAUUUGCCACGAAGAAAACGUUCUCCAAUAGUAUUCAUACAUUAUUUAUAUUGGCAACUAAGAAAACGUUCUCAAAUAGUAUUCAUCCGAUUUGAUUUACACAUAAAAAUAACUGUAGCCUUGCACAACGGAACUUCGUACUGAGAAGGAGGGAAUCGAGCAGCUGGCUUCGCCAUACACUUGUUUUACUCCAAGAAACUGAACAGACGUAGGCGCAGACUCUGGCGCUGUGCUAGCUACGGCGAGAACUUGGACUACUGCUGACAGACAAGACUCGUUUCUGGAAAAUGUGACAACGCGGAACACACGUGUCCAUCACUAAUAGGUUAUUGCCUUAACCAUCCAAGCAGCGGCUCCAGUCCAGCCCACGGUAAGAAUCAGCCCAAGUCAAGAGAGAGAUACACUCACAGCCUCACAGGGUCCGAGAUUCUGAUUCUCUCUUCCCUGUCUGCAUCUGUUUCAGGUUUUGACGGUCUUCGUGAGGCUGACUAUAAUCAGAGGGAAAAACCCCCAACCACACACCCCCCCCCCCCCCCCCCCCCCCCCCCCCAAGCUCUUUAGCUUCGUCCCUUCUACUAUCGUUUAUUUGUGGCACAUUGGCAAAUAUGCCUUUAAUUAAUUAAUUAAUUAAUUAAUUAAUUAUUGGGAAAGACGACAGAGCAUUUUGUUUUUGGUAGUAGAAAGUGACAAAGACAGUACAAUGUUGUUCAAUUGCAAUUACUCUCCAAAUUCUAAUUUUUUUUACAUUUAAAAAAAAAGAAAAAAAAAAAAGCAAGAGACAAAUAGAGGUCAACAAUUUGUGUUCCCUAGUUAUAUAAGUUUCUUCUUGCAUUUAUAGGAGUAUUUAUUCUACAAAUGGGUUAACUUUGAAAACAAGCAUUUUCACUUUUGAUUCCCAGAUUUGAAACGUAUCUUUCUUCAGGGUUCAAUCAGAAUAAAUCACAUCAAUCACAAUCACAUUGAUGCGUUAAGAAAAUAGUCCUCUAUGGCGGUGGACGGUUUGACUAAUUGACCAUGAUUCGUGGGGCUUACUUACGCAGGCCACAUCUUUAACAGUGUCGGUUUUUCUUUCACUAUUUCCGUAUUUUUAUGGGGUUACGAAUUUAUGACUGAGCUCAAUAAUUUUCCCGUGCAUUGAAUAAUUACACUUUCAGUAAAAUCUUAGCUUAGUACUGCAUUGAAAUAUAUAUAUAUAUAUAUUUUACAGCAACACACCUAACAACCGUAAAUAAUGUGAAUGAGGUUACUUUUAAGUUGAUCUACAUUGAAAAUAUUAUAGAUAUAAUAAAAGAAUAUAAGUAUUAGCACCUUCUAUAAUUCUAAUAAAACCUCUCGCUUUAGAAUUUAUAAUUUUAACCUUGUUAUAUUUCUAAUAUAAUAUAUUUUAAUUAAACUCUCAUAUUAUAAUCAUUAUUUUUAUCAAUUAACAUAUAAUUUUGAAAAAUACCCUUUACUUAGGGCUUGUUUAUUAAAUGUAUGAAGUAUGAUUUUUUUUAAUAUUAGAUUUCUUUUUUAAAUAUACCUGUUUAUUGUUUUGUAAUUUAUAUUUGAUUUUUUAAAAAUUUACAUCUUAAUUAAAAAAACUUUUAUAACUUUUAUCUGAAUAAAAAAAGAUCUAAAGCAAAUAUUAUGUUAAAAAUAUCUCCAUUAAAUAUUUUUAUUUCCUAAAAUAUAAAAUUUAAUCUCCUUUUUUAUUUUGAUUUACAACAAGAUAAAUGUCAAAUAAUCAUAUUUAAGAUUUUUUAUUUAUAAAAAUAAAUGAAAUGCUACUAAUAUUUGGAUAUUAAAAAACAAAAAAAUAAACAUGUUAUUACAUUUGUAUUCAAAAUGAUUUAGACGUCAGCUAAAAAUUCAUACUUAUUUAGAUUUGAGACCCAAACAAAAAAAAGGGCCAACUUAGUUAGAAAUCUUUAUUUUUGUAUGGUUAGUCAUUAUUUUUAUUUCUUUAUUUCAAACUUUAAUAAAUAUACCACGAUGUUUUUUGUUUUUUUUCGGGUCGAAGUAAAACUACAUGGUUUUUCUUUUGGAAUCAAAUGAGUGUUAUUAAAAUUAGCAUAAUCUAUGUAUAUAUUUAAUGAGAUACUUUUAGAAGAAGAGUUAUAAAAGAAUUUUAAAAGAGUGCCAAUAGUUAAAAACACUUGGCAAAAUAUGGGUGGCUUGGAGUUUGGGGUAAAAUUAAACUCAUUGGGCCUUUUCACUUCGGGUUGUAUUUCGUGAAUAGAAGCGGAACGCGAGGUUCCAACGAAAUUGAACCUCUAAAAUGGCAUAUUGCUGCUGAUAAUCACCAAACAAAACGAACAAUCAAAACUCAUUAUUUUAAACCAAAAAAUGAUUAAAAAAAACUGGCAAGACGCUUAAUAUAAAUUGUCGGUUAACAAUUAAUGCAAUAGAUUAGAUUCUCAGCAAUGCCACUCAUAGAGUAACAAAAGGAUCAAUAGUACGAGAGAGUUUGCGAAACAGAAGAAACGCAGCAAUAAAAGGAGGAUUGUGGUAGCACACGCAUGUCCAAGACUAGUAUGGAUUAAAUUUCUAUGCCUGCUGGAUUUUAAACUUGUCAUGCACUUUCUAAGUAUUGCUUCAGCUAAUUAUAAAAACUAUCUAACUUUUACGCAUUUUUCAAACCCGUGCCCAAACCCACUUUAAGGGUCGAGUCUAUUGUGGGUUUGGGCCGCUUUAUUUAUUUUUUAAAAUUAUUAUAAAUUUAAAAUAAAUAAAUUAUCAACAAAUUAUUAUAAUCAUAGAUAAAUUAAAGAAAAUAAAUAUUUUAAAGUAAAAUAAUAAAUAAAACAAAUAAAAGUUCAUAACUUUAAUUUUCUUUAGUACUGAAUUUUAUAAUUCAAACGUUCUUUUAAUUAAUUAACGCAAAAGAGAGAGUUCAUUAUCAUAAUUUUAAUUUUUUUAAUCAUUAUUGAUUUAUAAGUCAAGAAUUUAAGUUUUUUUUAAAAUAUUUUUUAAUUUUAAUUAUAUUAUUUUAAUUUAUAAAUUUAUUUUUUUAAAAUUAGUGGGCCUAACCUGGGCUGAGCUUUUCUUGAGCCAUUGUCCAAGCCCUCAUGUGUGAGGACCGGGUCAAAACACGCGGGCCUAGGCCGAUCCAAACUUUUUUACCCACCCUACAAAAAAUGCCACAUCUUUUAAACAUUUCGGGAACAUAAAUGGAUGGCAAAAUCUGAAAAUAUAAUCCGAAUAUAAAAAGGACAUGGGUCCCUAAUAGUGAAUAAGAUUAUUUUUUGAUUUGAAAAUUUUUAAAAAUUUUUUAUCAUAUAUAUUUUAGUGGUAAUAUAUCGUAAAAUUUAAUUUUUAUUUAUUUAUUUAUUUAUUUUUAAUUAAUUAAUAAUUAAGUUAUUUAUUUAGGACAUGAUAAGGGAUCACGAGAGAAUCUGAUCCCCUAUGCCUAUUCCACGUGUCACAGGCUUGAUCUAGUUGCUGACCUGCUGGCGAGCGCUUACGGCACGAACCAAUAAUCGGCCUGAAAAACACGCUCCCAGAGCCACGACAACGAGAUCAGAGCACCAAACCACGUCUAUGGUGCGUAUCUAACAUGCGCACACAAACUCCAACCAGCAGUGCAGAGCAGACAGCCGAACACUGUAGGCUGCAGGCAAGAAGAUAGAACAGCUAUCGCUUUGAUCUUCAACGUUCCAUUCUGCUUCUCUCUGAUUCAAAAAAGUUCUUCUGGAAGUUUUUUGGGUCUGUCAAAGAAUCACAGCCCAAAUCCUUUUGAGUGAUAGUGAAAGCUAAUGGUUUUCGACUUAUUCUAACGAUACGAUGGAUAAUCAACCAGGGAUGCUGUAUUUUCGACGGCCUUGCUUCUUUAAUAUUUUCUCUUCUAAUUUAAGUGCAGAGUGUCUGGUAAUCUUUUUUUUUUUUUUUUUUCCAUUCUGUCUCGCAAUAUUUAUUUUCUCUGAUCACUUGUUUCCUAAUUUUAGCAACAAAUUAGGGUUUAGUGCUUAAUGACUAGUAUCUAGAGGCUAAGCAGAAGAAAAGAAUUGCUAUUAUAAGACAGAACAGUCCUUAUAGACUUUCACUACAUUGUUUAUUCACUAACUUUGGAAGUUCAGAUGAAAGAUUUUCUUAGCUUCAAACAGAAGUUUUUUAUAACUUAAAUCAAAUUUUGAUGAAAUGCUGAUGGGUUGUGUGGUUGGAUGUUGACCCAGUUGAAAUCUAUAUGUAACAGAAAUUACCACUACAAUUCGUGAGACAUAUGGAGGGCAGAACAUCUGGAUCAGUCACAUUAAUAGGUCCUAGUUGGGAUACAUGGCACAUUGACUUGAUUCAACAGGAUGAUAAUUUGUUGUUUGAUAAAGGAUGGCCAGUAUUUCUGAGAGACAAUUUUAUAGAAUGUGGUGACCUUUUGGUUUUCAGAUAUGAUGGUGAGUUGCAUUUCACCGUGCAAAUAUUUGAUCAGAGUGGAUGUGAGAAGGAAGCUGCAUUUAAUUCGAAGUCCACCAGUACGGGACAAAAGAGAGAAAGAGAGGAGGCGGUUGCCCAUUCAGACAAAGCUCUUCAAAGUUUGUUGAAGAAAAUUAGAGAAUGCUCCUCUUCUUUUGAAUCGGAUUGUAUAGAUGAUAACCGGGACCGGGAAGCAGAUUCCUGUGAGGAAACAAGGAGGUGUCUCAGUCUAUCUACGAUCUUCGCAUCGCCUUCUCAACCGAAAACUUGCAACAUAAAGCCAGGUAACAAAUCCAACCUUGCGUUGAUUUUGAAGACAAUCUGUCUCUUGGUUGAACAAUUUCCUACAUAUUGAGCAUUUCUGUUGCUUUUUACCCUUUUCUGAGUCCGCCGGUCGUUUGAAGAAACUGGAAAUAGAAUUAUAGAAAUUGGACUCAUGGACUGUGCUCGUUUCUGCAUAAUAUUCUAGUAUAUAAGCACGUCCACAAUGAAGUACUAAUUGUAAUCCAAAUUUUCUUCUUGUAAACAGGAGUUUUUAACAUCAAUAUCUUUAUUAAUCAAAAUUUCAGAAUUGUGAGAGAUUUCUUGUUUUUACAGUCUUGAAUAGAUUUUCUUUUACUGUUAGAAAGUGACGGCAAAUAAGAUGAAUUGUAUUUACAUGAUAAAAGUUGUCUUUCAUUGUUCUCAGAAGAUGAAGAGAAAAAAGUUGCUCAAUCAUUCAUAUCAGCUUUUCCCUAUUUCGUCCGAAAAAUGAAGAGGUUCAAUGUUAGUGGUUCAUAUACACUGGUAAGUAGUUUCAUUUGCUAUUAUGGAUAUUUGACAGGAGCAUGGUCCAUGCAACCGCAACAACACCCCCCCCCCCCCCCCCCCCCCGCAAAUACAUAUUCCACUGGAAUUUAGAAGAAUGUUGUGGAAAAUAUUGGUGAACAGAUGACAUUACUCGCCAACCACCUCCUAAUCUCAGCCCUUUUAUUCAAUCUUUCGACUUCAAUCUGCUGCUCAACAAAUUCCCCAGCCACCAAAGAUUUAGAUUCACAUCAACUAGCGCCUCUGUAUUUAUUUAUUAAAUCUGGCAUUGCUGCUCCCAAGUGAUGGUGGCUUGACAGCCUUCACGCAGAGGUUCCUUUGAUUGUUGCUGGCCCAUUCACUUAGGGCUAAUAGCAUUUUACUUCUACUGGCAUGUAUUCAAUUACAUAGAAAAUUUAUUGUUUUAGUUUUCUGGAUUCUGUUAAUAAGAUCAGUUGUUUUUUUCCCCCUUUUUGGCGCAGAAUAUACCAUAUCAAUUUUCAAUGGCACAUCUUCCAAAUUGUAAAACAGAGGUUGUCCUUCACAACCUGAAAGGAGCAAGCUGGACUGUGAAUUCUGUGCCUACAACAAAAGUCCACACAAGUCAUACUUUUUGUGGAGGAUGGUUGGCCUUUGUUCGUAGUAAUGAGAUCAAAUUAGGAGACAUCUGCAUUUUCGAACUUGUGCACAAAUGUGAAUUGCAUGUGUAUAUUCUUAGAGUUGGAAAGCAGUACCCAGAUAGUCAGAGGGGAACAACAGUCUUAACUGGGUCAAAUGUAAGCUCCACCACCAUAUCAUGCAAACAGUUUGAUGGUGUGCCAAAGAAAGUGAAGAAGAACUCUCUGAAAAAAAUACAGUUAUGCAACGUGAAAGGUUCUAAGUCAUGUGAAAUAAAGAAGCAUAUUGGUACAGAUAGGAAUUCUGUUAGUAUUGCAACGUGCUGUCUGCCAAAAAUUAGCCAUGAAAAAUCAGGUAAAGCUGUCGAUUGAUCAUAUGUUGGGAUUUUCUAGUUGUGAUCUGUUAUGCAAGGGGCAAUGCUGUACUUCAUGUGUCUUCAAUUAGAUUCUUUUAAGUGAAUUUAUAGGUAAGAUGAGCGCUUUGUAUUUAUUUUUACCAUUCUUUUUGAGUGUACCUCUUUUCUUUUUUUUCUUUUCUUUUUUUAUUUUUCUUCAUGCUUAAUAGCAAUUCAUAAUAUUCUGACCUACAAUUUUUAGAGAGAUUUGUGUGGGUUAAUCUAUACACUCAUGAAAGUACCUGGUAACUCAACUUGGCUUGUGUGCACUACAGAGGCUGCUGCUCAAAAUAGAAAUAAUGUUGAAGCUAAAAUGGGUUCACCACCUGGAGGCAAUUUAAGAACGAUGAUGGCACUUGAUGAAGAGAAAGCUGCUCGUUCUUUUAAUUCAUGUGUUCCUCAUUUUGUGAGAAUCAUGAGGAAGUUCAACAUCAGUGGCUCAUAUACUUUGGUUAGUACUCUCCUUUGUGUUUGCUGCUUUUGAUAUUUUGCUGACUUUUAUAUUUCUUAUAUAUAUGGUGGUUGAUGGAACUGUAUCAUGGAUAACUUUUUUUAAAUUUAUAAUUAUUCGUAACAUUUGAGUAAAUUCAAAGAUCCAGAAGACACAAGUGAAGUAAUAAUCGAUGUUUUACUUAGCCGACUGCUGUUAUUACUCGCCAAAAUGUUAAAACCUCAAGAAUUUCACUCCAUAUUUACGGGAGUAUAAAAAAUCAUUCAUUCUCUUUUACUGACUCGUUAUUGUCACACAGAAAAUCCCCUAUAAGUUUGCCAUGGCACAUCUUCCUGACUGCAAAACAGAGAUUGUCCUUCGAAAUUUAAAAGGGGAAUGCUGGACCGUUAAUUCACUCCCAGACUCCAAAGGGCGGAUGGUGCAUACGUUUUGUGGAGGGUGGAUGGCCUUUGUUCGUGGUAAUGACAUCAAAAUUGGGGAUGUCUGCAUAUUUGAACUUAUCAGCAAGCUUGAAAUGCGUGUGCAUAUAACUGGUGUUGGAAGGAAAGAAGUGGACCUUGAAAGUGGAAAAUUAACAUCUAACGAAUCAUCUACAGUUGACCAUCCCCCUUUCUGAGGCACCGGAAGGGAUCAAACAUCAAAGAACGUGUUAGGUUGUGGGUAUUGAUACGUCCUUUUCUUAUUCUUUAAAAAUUAAUUUCAUGGACAAUUAUGUUUUUCAGACAAUUUGGUGGCUGUUUUGUGCAGGAUGAUCUUGCUUUUGUAAAUCAGUAGAAGCCAAGGCUAACUAGGUGAGAGUCGUGCGUUCACGCACGAUAGGCAACAGAAAGUUUUCCUAAGAAAAUGUAGCUAAAGCUUUUGGUGAACUAUGCGGCUAUCUGAGUUGAGUUGUAUGUACCAUUUUGGCUAUCAGAAAUCUAUUGUCACCCCAUUCUAGUUUAAUAUAGGAAUGGUUUGGAAACCGUUGUAUAUAUGAUGUAAUCUUUAUUAGCUGUCUCUCUUCCUCGCAUUUGUUUAUCUGUUUGUAAUUUGUAUUUGCUUCAAGGGCACUAAACACAUUUCCGGCCUAAGAAAAUUACGACAGACCGCUAGGAGCUUUAAACCUUGACCUGUUAUGUAGAUGGUAAGAGGCUGGAACCGAAUCUUUCUAUGUCAAGUGUGCACAAGUAAUAAGCUAACUGAAAUUCGUAAGAAGGCCUAACCCUAACAUACAAUAGAAGCCCGUAAUUAUUACUCCUUUUUUUUUAAAUUCUUUUCAUUUAAGAAUGAAAUAAAGAAAGAGACCGGACGUCGAAUGACAAACAUAAACUAAUGAUAGAUGUUUUAAAUUUUUUUAUUUUAAAUUUAAUUUUAAAUAGUAAUGUGUUAUUUAUUGGGUGGUUAGUAAUUUUUUAUAAAAAUAAAAUAAAAUAAAAUAAUUAUAUUAUAUUAUUUAUUAAUUAGUAAAUGUUACAUCAUUUAAAAUAAUUUUUUGGAUAAAAAUUUUGAAAUAUUCUCUUUUUUGUACUUUAAUUAUUCUAAGGAAAAUGACGCGUCGCACUUCUAAGAGGCUCUGUUUCUGUCUGUGGUGGUUUGGAGCGAGUAACAUCGGGGAGGGACAGCUUCUGCAGUCUGCAACUGCCACGUGUAUGCCUGUGAUUCGGAGGAGUAAAGUUGUUGAACAGUGUAAAAGGAUAUAGGGGUCAGCACGCAGUAUUUUCACUAGUGUUGCAGCUCAGCUUCAUCGGAGUGUAUGUAGUCAAGAGUCGGAUGCAGACACAGUCACAAGGUUGAAGGGGUAACAGCUAAUAGCUUCAGGCUUCAACUGCGUCUUUGUCAUAUCUUUCCUGCAAGAAUAUCAAAUCAAAUCAACUGUUUCGCUUGUGCCUCAUCUGUUGUUCUGGAGUAGCUGGUAAAAAAGUAAAUAAAUAAAUAAAUAAAUAACGCUUUUAUUUUAAUUUUCUGACUUUCUUGUUCAUAAUUAACUUAUUAAACUAAAUGCAUUAUGACGUAAUGUCUCAACUCUAUUCUUUCGUUAGGUCUCUGAAGUUGAGUUGAGAUCAGAUCAGAUCGGAUCCAAAGCUUCAGGUCGAGGGACAUGGGGGAGGCGUGCAACGAAUGCAGGAGUUGGGAAGAGGAAAUUUAUUGGAACCAUUUCCAGUGUAUCCAUUUCAUUCAGUAUCUUCAUACUGGUUUUGAACACCAACUUGUACGUUUACCAUGCUUUUAUUUCUUUUUCAUUUUGAGGUUCUUUUACAAAUUCAGCUUGUUCACAACAAAAAUUUUUCUUCUUCAGACCCUUAUUAUUUGUUCUAAGUAUCCUUCAUUGCAAAUAAUCAUUUUUAUAUAUAAUAAGCUCAACACGCAUCAAAACCAGUAACAAACAAGGCCGGCGGGCCUGUGACGUCUGGCUUUCUGCCUUUAAAAUUAACUCGAAAUUGAAACUUUUUUUCUCGCAAUUGGUAACUGGCAAUGUGAGUGGAAGCUCCUACAGUGAAGAAGCCCCAAAUUGACAUACAAGUGGAGGAAACCAGUCACCGUUGGAACUAGGGCCGGCCUUUGUGUUUUUUUUACUAUCUCGGGCACAACAAAAUCUAAUUUUUUGCCUUUUAUUUCACUCAUGCAUUGGUUUGACUAUGUUGGUCAUAAUGUAACCUAAAUUCUUGCUCGAAAGAUGAAGAAUCAUAUUGUUGUGAAGUACGAACCCGUAGGGUGGAGGAAGGGAGAAUCCAGGACACUUCCAUAGGGUGUCCAUGAGCUUAUAUACCCAUUUGGGUUAUCAUUUUUAGCCCAUGCAAAAUCCAGGAUUGUAACACAUACUCAACUGAAUCUUGGGAAUUUACAAGUGCCGCUGCUUUCUUUCUUCCUUUUUCUGUUUUCCUUGAAUGGUUAUUGAACAUUUAUCAUUUUGUGGAAUUGCAGGCUAUUCCCGAAAAGGUUGCUAGAAAUUUAAGAACGAAGCUUCCAGUAACCGUCUCUCUGAAGGCUCCCAGCGGUUUUACAUGGGUCGUAGGAAUUACAACGAGAGAUCAUACCUUGUACUUCAGUCAUGGUUGGCCAGAAUUUGUCAAAGAUCAUUUCCUGGGAGAAAAUGAUAUCUUGUUCUUUAAGUACAAUGGAGGCUCACAUUUUGAUGUUUUAAUGUUUGAUGGGCAAAGCCAAUGUGAAAAAGCUGUUUCGUAUUUUGUCAAAAAAUGUGGGCAUACGGAGCACAGCAAUCGACGUGAAACCAGAAGAAAAAUAAGAGAAACUUCAGUGGAAGGAAUUCCCAACUCAUCACAUUGUGAUGUUGACAUCACUCCACCAGAGAAAAGAAGCGAUGAUGACAUCAACAAAAUUCCAGUAGGACAGCCAAUUGUCACGCCAGCUUCUAGCAAAAGAAUUAGGAGGGAUGAUACUUCUAACGAGUUUGUUCGUAGCAGGCGAAAUUCAUAUUUUGUCAAAAAACGUAAGCAUAAAGACCAUGGCAGUGUAUCCCAAACCAAAAGAAGAAUUGGAGAAAGUUGUGUGGAAGGAAUUCCUAACUCUUCAGAUUGUGAUGUUGACGUGACUCUGCCAGAGAAAGCAAGUAAUGAUGAAAUUAACAAAAUACCAGUGGGAGAGCCAAUUGUCACCCUAGAUUCUAGCAAAAGAAUUUGGAGGGUUGAUAGUUCUAAUGAGCUCGCUCAUACUAGGCGAAGUUCGAGAAGCAAGACACUGUCUACUAAUUUUGCAGAGCUGUUAAAGACCAAAACUGGUAUUUUCUUCUUCUCUUCUUUUUAUUGCUCGACAAAAGGUUUCUAAAUUGUUGAUUGAACAAAUCUUGUUGGCCAAUGACUAGUUUUUGUAGUCUGCUGUGUAUUCUCUUGUUUGAAUUAUUCUUGUUUAUUAAUUUUAGUUCUGCAACAAAUGCCCUAGGUGAUGAACAAACAAUCAUCAAUGGAAAUGUGGCAUUGAGCCCACCUUUUACAUCUAACAGGAGGCCUGUGACCCAAGAUGAGAAAAAUAAUGCUUUGCUAAUGGCACAAGCAGUAUCAACCACUGACAGUUUCACAGUAGUCAUGAGACCUACUCAUGUAUAUAAGAGAUUUUACAUGGUAAGCAUUUCAUUUUCAAUCUUAUUUUACCUUCUCUAAACUUUGUUAAUCUCUUUUACUUUAUUCUUCCAUAUUUUGAAAUUAAUUGCUGGAUGACUCCCUAUGUAAAAUUGUUGACCUCAUAUCAUCCUGGUUUUGCUUCGUCAGGCUAUUCCUGCAAGUUGGAUGUCAAAGUAUCUCACCCUGGAGAAUCAAGAUGUGAUUCUUCGUUUGAAUGAGAAAACAUGGAUCACCCGAUUUCAAUUUUGCAAACCUCGUUGCUCUGGAGGCCUGUCUGGCGGCUGGAAGAAUUUUGCUGUAGAUAACCACUUAGACGAAUUUGAUGUCUGUGUGUUCAGCCCAGACAACCCAGGAACCAAACCUAUGGUCCUAAAUGUCAGCAUUUUUCGAGUGGUGAAUGCUGUGGUUCCACUAACCCAAGUGGCCCCCGCUUCCUUACAGCUUUGAAAAGUUGUCCCUGAUGCGGAAAGAAAACUGCUUGUUUAUCUAGGCUCUGGGCAUGAGCAGUUGCCUUUGUAAAUUGAUGUUAACUGGUGUUGGAAGUAUUUCGCGGUUCGCUUGACUUUUGGACUGUACUUUGUAAAUUACAUGUAAUAUAUUGUCGGAUUACUUUAUGCAACUGGUCUUACACUUGUGGUAGACUAAUUAUGAUAAGCUUUGAUGUACAACUUAUCCGUUCAACUAAAGAUGCCAUUUCAGAGUAUUGCAUUUUGGGAGAUUAGGAAUUAGGAGUGUGAACAUUUUAGAAAUGUUUCACAAUAUUCUCUGUUCAACAACAAAGCCUCCUUUAUUGUUACCUCUUUAUUGAAACCAUCAUCUGAGCCUGGGUCACCUAAGAAGAUUCAAAUUUAACAACUUGGAUGACGAACUUUGUAAUUGAUUGUAUGGAUUAGCUGAAUUGCUCGAAAGAAAGUUGGAUGCAACUUUUGUGAUUGACAUGUAGCAAUGAAAUUCUAAGAUAAGUAAUCAUUUAAUGUGAUUUGUGAUAAUAUCAUGUGCCAUAUUAGUUUAAGAUAUAAUCUUGUCCAAACCUAAUAAGCAUUACAAUUUUAUUUAAAAAAUGAUGUCAGGCGCUAGUAUUGACAGCCUUCUCUUCCAUUUAUUCUUGGUAUUUUAUGUGUUUUCAUUUAUUAUGGAGGUCAUGAUUUAUGUCCCCCUCCUUAUGUAGAUAUUUCAGUAGUUUCUGAUUUAUAUUACUGGUCCUGCCUAACCCCACCUUCUGGUGGUUUUUAUAAAAAAAUAUAUAUAUAUAUCCUCUAUCGUGCAAGAUUUUCCAGCCGUCCUAUUACGAUGAAUAAGGUGAAAUUUCUGUAACUAUUUUCGUCUUCCUAUAAAUAAAAACUUAUUAUAUGAAUUGAUGUGUCACUCCGUGUAAUUUCUUGUUUAUUUCUGUAACUUUUUGUGUCUUCACUCCUUACAUUUCAUUGGAGGGCCGCAUCGGUGUCAUUUCUUAGAAAAGAAAAAUUAAUGUUUUUCUUCGAUUAAACGAUAUCAUAUUAAAUGACGGCAGUUUGAUGCACACAGGUCAAUUAUGGCAAUAGCCAUAAUCAGGAUAGUUUGAUCAGUUUAGCAGCCAUUGAUCAGCAUUUAAUCAGUACAGCAAAGACACUGUCUUAUGACUUACCCCACAAGCCCUGAACAGUCAAGAGAUAAGAGUAUUAUUAUUCUAUUAAUCCUCUUCUAGUUUUCAUAACAGAGCAAACUGCAAAGAGCAUGUCUGUCUUUUCCAGAAAAGGAAGCUCUCUGUUUUUUUGGUUUAAGUGAUAAAGUUUCCAAGGAUGGCUAGAAAGAAAUACUAAGAAAAAAGACCAACCAUCUUCGAGGUCCUAACUGAUGACUUCUCCAAACGCUUGGUAGUACCAGUACUGUUUCUUCUUUCAUUUUUUGUAUGCAUUUACUGACCUUUAUUCGAAGCAUUACAAAACCUGUCUGUUGCACAAGAGCCUUCUCCUUUUUACGUUUGUGUUCUUAAUUAUUACCACUGAUUGAUUUUCAUGCAAACCAUGUUCUCAUACGAAUUAAAUAACCUUCUUUGUAAAAUAUCAGCCACCAUGAGUGCAGGUUCUUUGCACCAGGGGUGGCCGAAAAUAUAUUUUCGGAAAAGAUUGGAGAUUUUACUGAAAGUUGGACAAUUUCAUUUUUUCACCCCUCACAUUUGCAAUGAUAUUUUGUUGCCCCUCGAAUUUGACGUUUCUAUAUAGAAUAACGUAAUAGCCUAUCUUGAUUUAUUUAAAAAAAAACCCUCUUGAUUCUGGCACUCUUUUCACAGUACUAGCAAUUCUCACCUUCAAUUAAUCCUGCAUUUGCACUCCUAGCGAUAACAGAUUUCAUGCCUUUCUGUUGUUGACUCCAUUUUGAGGACACCUGAUUUUAUUUUCUAGUGUAUGCCGCCAGCUUUUUUCAAGAACUUUAACGGAAGAUCACUAGGAAAGUGCAUGGUUGACAGUCCUACGGGCAGACAUUGGGCUGUGAAUGUGGAAGAAAACGGGAAUCGCUUGUAUUUUGGAAGUGGGAGGCAUGAUUUUGUAAAAGAUCAUUGCUUAGGAUAUGGUAAUUUUCUUGUUUUCAAAUAGUGGUAAAUCAAAGUUCAGAACCAAAAUCUAUUAUAAGACCUACUCCGAGAAGAUUAUAAUAAAGCCAGCCAACAAGACGACCAAUGAUCACCCUAACUUGCACACAAAGCAUGAAAAUCAAAAUGAAGCUAGACCUACAACUCUGCAGUGCAAGCAUGAGACUUGCAAAGCUAUCAACAGAAAGAAACCAACCAAUUACUUAAACACGAGUACGUGCAUGGAACGGGAGAGUUGUAUCAAAUAGCAUCUUAUUACAUAAAUAUUAUUCAAAGUUUUACUUUUUCUCAAUUUGGAGUUGAAUGCGUGUGUAGGUGGCUGUAGAAGGUCAAAGAAGAAACCUGUUAUUGAAGGAGUGAGGAAAGCACUAAGAAAAUCACCAUGUCACUCGUUUAAGUCACAGAAUUUCUAUUUCAUUGUACCUUCAAUGAACACCCGCAAACAGUAUGUGAUAAGGUUCCUGCAAAAGAUUUAUCACACACUAACUUCAAAACUUUGCUCGUACAAAAGACAGGAAAGAGACAUAGCCCACGACUGAUAAUUUCACCACUUUUUAGUUUUAACUUCUCAAAUGCAAGCCAAACUCAUUUUCCAUCCAAAUUUUUCAUGAAUUCAUUGCAUGAGUUGCAUCUGAGAAAUCUCUAUAUCUGAGUUGGCAAAAUAAGAAUGAUGAAGAUUGAGUUAGAUACCAAUAAAUUAACACAAACUAGAAUGAUGAUGUGAAAGUUCAAAAAAAGGAGAUCAGGACCACCAUAAGGAGAAUAUGCUCAUAGGAACAGGCCCUCUUUAAGAGAAUUAUGCUGUUGCAAAAAAACUGCCUCAACCAACUGUCCAGAAGUAAUGCUUGGCUUCCUCAGGCUGUCAGGCAGAAGGUCUCUGACACGCAGAGAAGAGUUGCCAACUAAUGAAUGCCAUCACCAACGAAGUAAAAAGUUCAAAGCCUACCACCUUUGGAAAUUGCCAUCCCAAUCCCCGCCUCAAAUAGCUGCAAAGGCCAUAUAUCAGAAUAAUAAGGGUAUUGACAAGUACUAUUCUUUACACAGCUGUUCCAAACCAUGCAAGCAAAAUGCUUUUAAUUGGUGAUCACUGCAUGGAUGCUAUAAGGUCAACCACCAUAUGGUUUUAAAAGAUACAUCAUUUGGGGUUUGUGGACAGUUUAUUAUGGGAAAAUGAAGCCAAGUUUACAGGUUCAAAAGUAAUUAAGAAAGACCAUAAAUUAGGCCUCCCAAAUGUUUGUAUUUCCAAAUUGAUGGAUUUGAAGUAAAUUAACCCAAUUUUAACGUCAGAAAAAAACUCAAAUCUCGCAAACGUUUUAGUAAAGAAAACAAUGUUACAAUGAAGGUUGAAGAACAAACCUUGUAAUAGAUGGCAUGGUUGCAACAAUCCCAGCACAUGCAUAUAUUAUGGGAAUCAACGUCUUCGGUUUGUUUUUGCGAAGCCACAUCAAAGAUCCCAAUGCAGCAAGGGAAAUACUCAACACCUGAAAUCAUAAUUAAAUCAGGAUACAGAUAAUUUAACCCUCGACUGGAAACAAGUGGACAGACAUAUCAGCUCCAUUUCCACAGGGAAAAAAUUGACCUACUUCCCAUCUUGCUGAAAUUUAUGCAUUAUAAGAUCAAAAAUUGCAUGGUGCAAACAGAAAGCAGUUAGAAAAGUAAUUUCUGUCAACUGAGAGAACAAAUUUACCAAAUUCGCAUUAGCUUCUAGCCCCUGAAGAAGGUAGUCCCAAGUAAACUCUAGUCCUCUAGCACCCACCCAAAGUGGAGCCAAUCUAUGUAGAACAGAAUCAGCAAAAGCCCACCCUGCCAGCAUGGAGAAAGAAGUGAGAUAGUGACUUUGAAGUUUAAGAUUUACAGUUUUGACCAGUCUAAAAGGAAAGAGCAAGGACCUCAUUCCCACUAUUUACAACUAAGUUCACAUGCAGUCACAAAUAAAUUAAAAAACCUUUUUCUUUAGAAAUUACUAAAAGAAGAUAAAGAAAUUAACAUCUCUAUAUCUCUCUCUGUGCGCACAUGUGAGUGUGUUUUAACAAAAUAACUGAAUCAAGGUUUACCCACCCAGUCCAACAGCUUGAAAUUUAUGAUUCUGAGAAAUGUUCCUGUGAGUCAACUGGGUUAAGGCAAAGUAAAGCCCAGCAACAUCUAUAAAACCGAUCAAUGCUUUCAACAGUUCCUGAAGAAAAACGACAUUCUUGAUUGUAUGAUGAACAAACCACUGGAAGUAAACCAUCAUAAACAAAGGCAUUAUCCAAGUAAGAAUAAAAGCUAGCUACACACCACUCACACUGGCUGACAGAACAAUCAAAUACUAAUCUUGCACAGACUUGCAAUCAUCCUUUUAUAAUGUUUCAUGAAUUUCAAAACACAUAGUAUUUAUACAGCCUUGCAGUAUAUAAUGGUCAUAAAAUAUACAACACCAACUUGAAUUUGUAAAGAACUACUUACUAGCAUGCAUAAUCUCUUUUAUCUCUAAUAUCUCUGAAGUGUAAUUACCAAAGAAUAAAUAAAAAUCAACUUAUGUGGAAUAGAAAGUAAGGAAAUUAAGAACGUGAUAACCGUACGAUUAUGAAAAUCAAUUAUUAUAAUACCAACGAAGCUGAUCAAUCAAAAUUUGCCUCUCUCGUUACAUGUAUAAUCUAGCUUUCUAAUAUAUAAAUUCCAAAAUCAGCAAACUAUUACAAGUUAAGCUAAAAAAAAUUUCAACUUGGAAAGAUUAAAAAAAACAAAAAACAAAAAAAAAAGUACCUGAUAUGGAUCGAAGUUAUCAGUCUCUGAUACCUUAAGAAACGUCGCUAAGCAAACAAGCUGCACAAGUAACAAUUCUAAUUUCAAAUAAUUCACAGCUUAAGUACAUUAAAUUAUGAGUUAACCAAGCGUACAAACCUUAACAAGAGCUGUGCCGAGAUAAACGAGAGCCGCUUUCACAGAGGUACCAAGUGUAUCAUACUCGGAUCUGCACAAGUAUAGUGUCAAUUAGCCUCCAAAGACAAGUUACGGAUCUAAAAAUUUUGACGUGGGAUAGGGGCGGUACAAGGGCGUGGCGGAGUAGUAGACGGCGUGAGGGCCGAAAGUCAGAAUCGCACAGUUGAAGAAGUGAAAAACCGUCAUCUUUACCUAACCUUCCUCUCUCCGUCACGGAAACCGCUGUGGUGAUCCAACAACAAGUCAGUCCCUUAGAUUUUAUUUUUAUUUUUAUCCCGUAAUCUGUAGGUUGUAAUCAGAAUUUCUGAUGAUGGUUCAGGAGGGAAGAAGCCGAUGACUAGGCCGGAUCUUUGUUUCUAAUUGGGCCCAGGCCCGUGGCUACCAGGUCCACAUCUGUUGUAGGCCCCCAAUGGAUAUUCUGAAAGACCCAGACCCUCUUUCAAUUGGCGGGUCUAAAUAUAUUAAAUUGGAGGGCUAAAUAGAAACUCUCUCCAUCCUAAGGCGUAGAUCGCUGAAUUUAAUUUGCAGAGACUGAUUGGGUCCGGUUACGGUGUAAUUAUGGUAUUGUGCUACAGUUGUAUUCAGCCGUUGAAUCCACUUGGAUGGGUGGGGUUCAUUGGGAUCGAACUGCUGAGUUGCACCAUAAUUUUUUCCGACUGAAUGUCACUUAUUGGUUGGAGAGAGAAACUAAUCUCAUAUUUGAUUGGGAGAGUUUGAAGAGCGCUACGAAGAGUGAGUACGUUACCAAGUCAAAUUACUCAAUUAAAUUUCACAUUUUUAAUAUGACAUAUUAUCUAUCUUUCCCCUCAAUUGGAAUUUUGUUUGCCAAUAUGAAUGUCUGUUCGAUAGUUACAGUAUGGUACCUAAUAUGUUGGGUACAAUUAAUUGACAAUAUAUGAAUAUUUAACGAUAUAUAUAUAUAUAUAUAUAUUAUAGAAAAUUGGGCUUGAUGUGUUAGGGGCUGUUGGCUUAUGAAUGUCUUUCAUAGAUUAGAAUUUGGCAUGUACAUGUGCAACUGUUAAGCCAAAAACAGGUAAGGUUGAAAUGUUUCCUGCAACAGCUCUUGCCUGCUAAAACUCCAAAUAUGCGUUUCCAAUUCCCAAUUUGAACCGGUCUGGUUGUUUUUUUUCCUCUGAUGAGACCGCCUAUACGAAAGCAAACACAUUCUUUGCGAAAUGAUCUUUUAUAUAUAUCCAUCUCAAAGCAUUACGCAUAGCCGGUGACAUAUAUGGAGAAUUAAUAUUUAAUAAGAUCGAGCAAGAAAAUUUUAUGUCGCUUCUUUUUUUUUUUUUUGUUUUUUCUUUUUUGUCGGUUUCUAGUAAAUAGUAAUGCGUGCCUAACAGAAAUGUGGCUGUAUGAAUUUCUUUCACAUCAUAUUCAAGCUUAAUUUAUAGUUCUAGUGCGAGAUGAACAUUGAUUACUAUCAUAAUUAACCAGUACUACAAUACCAAUAAACGAUGUAAAAUAGGAUUAGUAUGAAGUUCAAAGUACACUGUGCUAUACGUCAUGGGAGCAGUUAUUCCCUCAUGAAAGGGAAACAAGGAUUUAUUUUGUUGAUGUUGACAUUCAAGGACUAGUUUUUAAUUAUAUCUCAUUGAGGAGGAGAGCUGGACAAUUUGACAGCCCAAGAGCAGCUUUCUUUCUGGCAUUUAGAAAGAGCCAAAGAAACCAGCAAGUGAAUGAGAAACAUAACCUUUAAUUGAGGCAAUUAGCCAAACGCCUAUAUGGCCAUAUGUGAAAAAAAGUAGCACAAAUGUGGUCCAGAUGAGUAUGGGAAAUUGGGACUGCGACGGUGUCAUAAUAAUACUAAAAAGCCAUCAUUCCCAAACAACACAUAAAGAAAUUUAAGGAAGAUAGGGAAUAAAUAGAGAGAGUGGGAAUGUAGGCGAUAAUGAAUAGUAGUGCAAACAACAUCCCCACACCCCCACUUUUUUAAAGAUAGAGGUGAGAAAAAUCUAAACUAAUUUUUUUAGUCCAUAAUUUUUGGAGAUUAAAUUAAGAUAAAUCUAUAUUUGUUUUAUAUUGUUUUGAGUUAAAAUAUUGUUAUUAAUUUUUUCUUUUGGGAUAGUUAAAUUAUUGGUAUCAGCGACAUAUCUCAAAUAUUUGGGAUUAAACAAUGAAAUAUCAAUUCAUAGGAUUAAGCAAUGAAUUAUUAGGUCAGUAGGUAACUGUAAAAAAUUAAAAAUAUAUGAAAUUAAGCAACGUAACAAAUGUGAAAAAAAUGGCCUCCCGGGGGUUUUAAUGUAGGGGGGCAGCGUCCAUUCUGAAAACCCUAACAAGAACUGCUUGCAGGCACAUGAUCGCCCUGAAAGUGGGUCCCUUGAUAUAAGUACGUACAAUCCAUCAGAUUACGUUAAUCUAGGGUACGUUGGAUUUUGAUCAAGACUCAAGAGAGAGGUUGCUCUAUUUUGAUGAAGGCAGCAAAUGAAAUCCCACGGUAGGCACGUGACCUUUUUUAAAAAAAUUUAAAAAAUAUAUUAAAAAAACAAAGCCACGUAACAAAAAUCAAAAUGAAAAGAUAUAACUUUAUCUCUUACUUUCCGUUCGAUUGGAGAUUGCUCCUUAGACUUUUUAACAAAUACGGAUGAUCCCACCCUUUUGAUCUGAUCUGUGUAAAUUAACUUCGGGGCUCCACUUCUGUUCUUUGAAAGAUAUAAUGUGAAGAAGAACCGUACUGGUUUUUUAAAAUUUCAAGAAAAUCUUGAUGUGUGAUAGAGGGAGAAUUUUGCCUGUGAAGGAGUAAGAGAAGAAGUUACAGAUCCGUCGCCUUCAAUUGAAUUCACCCGAACCGAACCGAUGUAACUCUUUGAGUGACCGCGACCGCGACAGAUGAUGCAGAGGCCAGGAAUUUCAAACAAGUCAAUGAAAUAAUUGAAUUAUGCUUCCCCAUCACAACUUGUCUCUUUUUUUAUUUUUAUUUUUCAAUUAUCACCCGCCCCCCCGGCCUCCACACAAAUAACAUAACAAAGUAUCAAUCUUUUUUUUUUUUUUUUGGAGCCAACAAAGUAUCAAUCUGCUAUUUGCUAUUUCGAUGUUAAAUCUUUCCGCAGUAUCAAAAUCUGAAAUUGGGAAUAUACUUUCUUCUGCAUAUAACUUUAUUUGAUCAGUGAACUUAGGUAACAAAUUAAAUCAAUAAGUAAUGCAACCAAUUAGCCACUCGCCCAAAGGCCCGCUGGUUAGGGCCGCUGUCCUUGGAGGAUAGUAGUUCGUAUCCCCACAAGCGCAAUGUAAAGAUAUUUUCUUCCUUAAUUAUAUAAGAUAGUAAUAGUAUUCUCUCUUAUCCAAAUAUGAGUGUAGUAGACAUACAUAGAAUAUUAACGAGAGUUAAAAUCUGGGCAGAGGUUGGUCUCAUUAAUAGUCUGAUUUGUAAAUACCAGUUAUAGUUUUAUGUAAUAUAAGUUGUAGUUUUAGCAAUAGACUAAUGUAAUAAAAAAAAAUAAUGCGACCAAUUAAUGAAAUUUUAAACUUUUUUCUAACAAUGCAUUGAUAUUCUUUCUUAAGCUUGAAAAACUUUUAUAUAUAUUAGUUUUCUAGUUAGAGAUUUUAAAAUACGGGAAAAAAUUGUAAGGUUUUAAAGUUUUUUCAUAUUUUUCUGCACUUUAAAAUGCUAAAUCAAAAAUUUUUUAUAUAUAAAUAUAUAUAAAACCUCAAUAUGCAAAAUCUAACUUCUUGUAAUCUUUGAUUUUUUUUUUGUUUUUUAAACAGAGAUAUGCUCCUUUAGUCAAUAAUUUUCAAGUCAAUUAGGGUUUACCUCCAGUACCGAUAAGAUUAAUUUUAGGUGCUCUUUUAUCCCAACCUCCCCCACCUUUUUUUCCCCCCUAAAAUUUCUUGCUUGAGAUUUGUAAGAACAAAAUAAUCUAGUGUGGGGCUGGCGUAGGUAGGGUCUGACUUCAGUCACUCAAAUUUAUCAAAUCCAAUUGACGUAAUUUUCACCUUGUUUCCCAAAUAUACGGGCCAGUUAAUUAUUGUUGCUCGGGAAUGCUAGCUACCUCCGAGAAGCUGCUUAUGCUUACGAACUAUUCUAAUUUCCCAGCUGGCCCUCUGCCCGCAGCCGGUGGCGAGUUGUGUGAAACAGUGAACCAUUUCUCUCCUUUUAUGGGGAAAAAAUAGUUGCUGUCACUGUCAUUUUAAGUUCACGAUCAAUCAAUUAUAUUGACCAUUUUAUUAAACCAGACUUUAUUUGACCGCAUUGUACGUCUGGUAAAUAAAUUUUUUAUCUUGAGGAAAGCAAAUUAAAGAAAGCAACGCAGUCCAUCCCUUUUCGGAGUGUUAAACUCUCCUAUGUCAUUCACCAAGACAUGAGAAAAUUCUACAGAAGCAGCAAAAGGACUCGAUCGUGUCAUGUGUCAUUCCAUAUAUUGUUGUUAAUACUUAAUUAUAUGAUGUAAUGUCGCGGUGCACGUCAGCCUAAACGGCGUAGAUUUCGGUGAUUCCUUGCUUUCUCUUCUGUCCUUCUCCCAACAUUACUCAAAGCAUCAUGCAGUGGGAGAAGGUGAGAAAGAUGUUCUAUUUUCAAAGCAACACAUGCCCCUAUCCUAAUCUCACGAAUCACUAUGAAGAACCUAAUAUUCUUCCAAAUGCUCCGUAGUUAUUUAAUUUAUUUAUUCGUCCAGACAAAGCAAGAAGAUAACAAAUAUAAUAUCGCUAGCUAACUAUCAGCUACUUGGUUACCUUCCAAAAAUCACACAUUCAAAUUUAAUUCUACCUAAACUCUGGAUGUUAUACACAGCGGCCCUCAACUUUUCAUUUAAUGCACGAUGAAUUCAGUACCGACAUGAUUUUCAAUUUGCUGCUCUUUUUAAUAAGCCUAUAUACACAUACGAUCGGAGAGCUAGGAGGAUCCCAUGCAAAUUCAUGCCCAGUAAAGUGGUACUAUGCUUAAUAUCAACAGCUUAAUUAUUUAAACGAGAGUUGAGAAAUAUAUAUGUAGUUUCAAGGCGAAUAUAAUUAAAGGUAAAAGAAUAAUCAAAACAUAAACAAGAGAAAAGACAAACACAUGGAAUAUGGAAUAUAGCCAAAGCAUUUGACAACAGAGCAAGAGAGCCGUGGAGGGACAUGUUGACCGGAUAUAUAUAUCUCCCCCUGCUUACUAUUCAAAAAUCCAAAGAAAGAGAGAGAAAUAAUUAGCGUUAAUAAAUAAAGUAAGCAUCCUGCAGAAGAAGCUAAAAGAGUUUCAUUUCCCGGAGAAUCUAGAGCGCAUCAGGCGCUGACCGUGGCUUCGGAAACUAUUUAACAAAUGAUUAAACAUUUUUCUAGUCAUCUUGUUGUUACUGUUAUCAGCUAAUAAACAAAUGGAGAAGGCCCCGGACCCAUGGCCGUGGGAUUUCGAGCUCAAUUUGUUAAACAUUUUAAAUAUUGGUUUUGAGAAUACGGAGAAAAUAACAACAAGAGAAGAGAACAAACAAGAGCUUAUCACCCAGACAAGGUCACGUCCGUAAGGUCACGUGAUGAGAAGCCACGUUGACGCCGAGGAAUAUGGUCUUUCUUUGUGGCUUUCCACGCGCGGGUGGGGCUCGACAGCUUGGAAUAUUUCGACACGGAGAGGGAAUAUUGGAUUUGUAUUACAUUAGACAAAUACUAGCCGUUGAAUUUAUCCCCCCCUCCCCCUCCAUUUUAAUUCUUUUAAACAUUCCCACUCGCCUUUUCCUUCACUCGCCACAGGAUUACCGCGGCUGUUGAGGCGCGUGGAUUACUAAUUUUUUUUCAAACGGGUCCCACUUCCCGCGGAGAGUUGCAUGUGGGUUUGUGACCCUAGUGUCGCCGGACGCCCCAGCCAAUCUGACACUUCUACCCUCUCAAUUAUAGUCCAUAUUCCUUUCCCCCUUCCUUAUUACUCACGUCACGAGACCAUUUUAGUUUCUGAAAUUUUUCAAUUUUUUAUUUUUUUGGUUGGGAAUUUUCAUUGGCAGUUCGCACGUGUACAUCUCCAUACCUAAAUAGCAACGUGGUAAAAUGCUACGUGCACUCAAGCCUAGACUAAAGUUUAGAGAUUCUUCUGUUCUUGCCCAUUAAAAAUGAGUCAUUUAUCUGUGACUUAUUAGACUAGAGCUGGCAUGGCAAUUGGUCGGUCUAGGCGGAUUUAAAUUAAAGCUAGUUAAAGAAGAAUUUAGUAAUAGAGCUGUCGUGUAAAAAAUCUAAUGUUUCAUGCUACGUGCGAAUUAGUAUUAUUAAUUAAGGGAAAUUUAAGGAGGUUAAUUUGUUUGCAUGAUAUCUAGUACGUUUUAGUUUAAAAUGAUGUCAAUCCCAAAACCAAAUGUAUGUUAGGUUUUCUUACCCCAAAAGGAAAAAAAAAAAAUGUUAGAAUAAGAAUUAAUGUGUAUGUGUACAGCGUACAUGCCAUGCCUGCAUGGAUGGCAGUGACUACUAAUAAGUAUAGGUAUAGGUUUGAACAGAGAUAUCUUGGCCUGCCAGUAAUCCUCAUUCAUGAAAUAAAAUGGGGAAUAUUCUAAUUAUAAGAGAAGCUAAGAUUGAUAAAUAAAAUAAAAUAUUUAAGAUGUAAUAGAAACAAAAAGAGUAGGGGAAUUUAAAUGGGUCGCGAUCCAUCAACAUAGAAGAGAGAGAGAGAGAGAGAAAGAGAGAGACUCGGUUUCGUUCCAAAUAUUCCAUUGAACAGUGCCCCGUUUGGCGUUUAAUUAUGUCUCGAAUUCCAACCAUUCCCUGCUGCAUAAACCUCCAUUAUAUCCCUGUAUCCAGCAACCCUCCUUUUUCAUUCAUUCUUCGUUAUAAAUAUUUUAAGUCAAAAAAAUUGAAAAAAAAAAAGAGAGCUCUCUGGUCCUCUCCCAGGAGAAAGGUGAUCUGAUUCCUUUGCGUCCUUAAAUACACAACUUCCCCUUUUCACUAACUUUUCCUUUAAACUAUCACCCCCAGAAAAACUCACUUACUUUCCCUUUUGCUUUCAUAAUUUAAUAAUCUGACUAGUAGUCUUCCUCUGCAAUUCCUUUACCCCCUUCCCUUUUCCUCUGAUCUUUCUCUCAACCCUAGGGCUAGGAAGCCUACUAAAAGCCUUCCUAUUCACUCACCUUCAACACAUUACAAAUCAUAAGGCACUCAUGAUAUAAUCACAACCACUCUUUCCAGCUCUCCUUUCAAAGUUUUCUUUCACCUUUUUGUUUCCUUAUUUAUUCUUGUCAAACAUCUUCCACCAUUUCAAACUUCUCUCCUUUUCUUGUCAAUAUUUACUUAGAUCCUUCUUACUACCCAUCCUCACCUAAUGUUCUCAAGCAUGAACCCCUUAAUGAGAACUGCUUCUUUAUCACCCAUGCCUGAUCUUUCCUUGCAGAUCAGCCCGCCAUCUGCUUCAGAUUGUGAAGCUAAUAAUAAUAAGGAAGUUCGGUUUGAUGGGUUAGUGAGAAAUAGUUAUGCAUUCUACAGUGAUGGGGGCUCCACCACCGACUCCGCUAGCAGCGGAAGCGAUUUAAGCCAUGAGAAUCGCUUUUAUAACCCUGCAGAGAGGAGUUACAAUCUUGGCCCCAGUGAGCCCAUGUUGAGUCUUGGGUUUGAAAUGGCAGAUUUAUGCCCACCUCCACCACAGCAACUGCCGAGAACAAUUAAUCAUCACCAGCAAUACCAGCCUCAAAUCCAUGGCCGUGAGUUCAAGAGGAAUGCAAGGAUGAUUAGUGGAGUCAAGAGAAGCGUCAGAGCUCCCAGAAUGAGAUGGACAACAACUCUUCAUGCCCAUUUUGUUCAUGCGGUCCAGCUUCUUGGCGGCCAUGAAAGUAAUUAAUAAAAAUACAAAUUUCCCACCGAUUUGUUCUGUAUCUCACGCUUAAUUAUUUUUGAAUUGAUCAUAUAUUAGUUUGACUGAACCGAGAAACUAAGUUUUUCUUUUUCUUUUUCCCUUUUGUACUGGAAAAUGUCGCAGGAGCAACUCCAAAAUCCGUCUUAGAGUUGAUGAAUGUAAAGGAUCUAACCCUAGCUCACGUGAAGAGUCACUUGCAGGUGGGGUAACUGUUUACAGUCUUCAUGGCUUUAAACUUAUGUAUGGUUAGAUUUUAUUAUGAUUCUCCUUCUCAUAGUUGUUAAUAUAUUGCACCUUUUAUCGUAUUCUAAUUUUGUAUUUGCUAUGAUUCAUUUGUAAUGGUUGGUUGAGAACAAAGGGAUAAGGACAAAAUGGCAUCUAGAUUGUAAUCUAAAGCUACAUGGACUUUUUUCUCAUUUUUUUUUUUUUUUUUUCUGUGGGUGUUCAUGCAGAUGUAUAGAACAGUGAAGAGCACCGACAAAGGAUCAGGUAAAUUGGAUUGUCCCUCAAACAACCCCAAAUGUUAUUUGAUCUCUUCAAUUAUUCUUUUUGUUUGGGGGCUUGGUGAUCCAAUAGUGUGACAGAAAAUCUCCAUUAUUUGAUCCACUGUUCCCCAACUGAUGCAAAAUGAUUUUGGGAUUGGACUGACUUCAGUCCAUGUGAUGAAUUAUUCGCUCGGUGUCUGAUAAAGCUAGAGCAUUAACUCUAUGCAUGUAUAAUGCAUAAUUACAUUGCAGGUCAAGGCCAGACAGAUAUGGGAUUAAACCAACGGACAGGGGUUGUUGAUCUGGAAGGAGGAUUAUCUUGUGCAAAAUCUGAUACCAAUUCUUCUCUUCACCCAACACCAUCAUCACCACAAACAACAUCACAACAGAAACGCCAAAGGUUAGUGCUGUAUUUUUUUCUUUUACAUUGGAGCCCAUUAUCUCAAUGUGAACAUACAUAUAUACAUGCACGCAUGUACACAAUAGCCUUGGUUGCGAAUUUUUUGGUCAUACACUGUGUUUGUCUCUGUCUGUACUCGUGGUGUAGACAAAUGGAUUUUAUUAAUCUAGGUAUGAAGUUGGAUUUUGAUGAACACUAACCUAGGGUUUGUAGAUCCAUUGAAAAGUUGACGAGUGUGGCCUCGGUAGUAACAGUUUCCACUCGCGGCCCAUAUCACAUCCAUUAGAUGGUGAACGUGUUGAUCCCAAAUUCUCAAUAUUAUAUUUAUUUGCCACAAAAGUCAAGGGUUUUGUUCAAAUCUCAAAGUCGUUGUAAUCUCAACGGGUAAGUUUUCGCGCCUUAAUAAAUCAUGGCAGGCUAGAUAGGCUCCCUGGAAUCAGAUAUGUCCUUUGCCCGGUCUAGUAAUUAAUGUUUUGUUGGAUGAAUUUUGUUGACUUCAGCCACUACUGUGGAAGAUUCAGUUUUAAUUUGUGUUCCAAAAGGUAUACUUAGAGUACUGAUCCAAGCACUCUAUUCAUGAACGUUAAGUCCCAAAAUAGAUGUGCGCAUUUAGUAUACCGAACCUCAUGCUGCAUGACAUUUCACGCCCUUUGCCUUGCCGAAUGAUGCACAUAUUAUACCCAAAUCUGAUAUUAUAGCACACCAAAAUCUUAAUGAAGUAUAUCCUCUCACUAGAUCAGCAUCAAGUUCUCAAUGAUCUGCUUUUCGAUGUUUAUAUUCAACCCUAGAUGUUAAAAAUAUAUCUGUUAAAAAAACAAAAAAAAACUACCAAGUGUUAAUCACUGUCCGAGGAGGAGUUUAAAUCCCGAUGUGCAUAUGCAAAGGAGUUUUUAUUUUUAAUAUUUAAUUGAUCCAAACUAUUCUAUUGAGGCCUAAAUGUACAGAUGGACUUGAAGCUACCUUAGAUAGGUCAUAAUUUCUCACUGUAACAGCAAUAAAUGAUAAUAUAAUACCUGCAAAUUCCUGUAUAAUUUUAUAGUUACGACUUACGAGAAAAACAAAACGAUAUAUUAGUCAGCAUUGAUGCCCCAAUUUAUUACAAUACUAUAACACGUUGAAGUUUUGCCCAUAGAAUUCUACAAUCGAUCAAGGCAUCAAUUACCUUAAAAGUUACUUUUGCCUUACACUACUAAGUGCUAAUAAUUUGUUACAAUCUGUUCUUUUUUUUGGGGUAAAUUAUGAACAGAGGCUCAUUGCCAUCAAUGGAGACAAACAACAGGAGCAUAUCAAACUCUGGAAAUGCAAUGACAUAUUCCCAUUUCAAGGCAAAUGACACGAAGGUAAGAUUAUGUGAAUUUGACCCAAUCCCCCCCCCCCCCCCCCCCCAAAAAAAAAAAAAAAGAAACAUGUUGUUGACUUGAAUUAAUUAAUUAAAAUUAAUUUUGCAGCUGUAAUUAAUUACUGACGUAUUUUAAAUUUUAAUAGGGGGACGGACGCAAGACAACCGUCCAUAUGUCUGAUAAUAACAAGGUGGAAGUGGAGAGGUUGGACUCUAGCUCUUUGACAGCUUCUGAUGAUAAGUUGCUAAAUCUUGAGUUCACUCUUGGAAGGCCAAGUUGGCAAAUGGAUUAUGCUGAUCAAUCUUCAAAUCAUGAGUUAAACCUUCUCCAUUGUUAAACAUUACCAAUCAAGUCCAUUAAUUAAAUAUAAUGCUUUUUCAAUUAGUUCCGAAUGUGUAGUCUCUAAUUUUUCCUAACUUGUUUGAAGCUCUUUGAGUUUUGUCUGCAAUCAGAUAAACGGUAUUGAAUGGAAAGAUCUAACUCAAGCUCUUAUAUGUUUUUUUUUCUGGAGUCAUAAGAGUUCAUAGAUUUAUCUAAAUAGUGCAAUAUCAAAGGUUGCUCAUAUAUUUUGAUGAUGGUUCUGUGGAAAGAAACAUACUGCAGUACCCCAUUUUGAUCACUUUCAGCGAUGGUCCAGUAAUGGUCCUUUACUAGGGCGCUACGUGACACCCCGACUGGUCAUGAAUAAUAUGGACAGGUGGAAUAAAACUUUAGCGCGAAAUAUCUGUGAGUGUUAUGUCAAUCAUAUUCACCAUUGUUGCUGUGCAUAUCGAGCAAGUGUUCUCCUGCCCUUCUUGACUUUGAGGAUAUAUAGAUGAUUGUAGGUUUGAAUCAGGUUUUUCAAUUUACAUCUCAUCUCUAAUUAAGACCGUAUCUAGAUGUAUUCCAUUUUCAAACGAUCGAUAAGGUUUGAACAGACAGAUACCCUUUUUCUUUUUUUCUUUUUUUUUGGGAUUGGGAACAGACAGAUACCUACUAAAGGAAAUAGUGUAUUCGGUAUUCCCCAUUGGGAAUUGGCAUAUACUUAUCCAUUUUUAAAAAAUUAUUUAAAAUUCAUCUCAUUUAGAUUAAGACCCCAAACCUAUGAGGAUUUUGCCAUCCCUACGUUUAAAAAAUUUGGAGAGUAGAAACUUAGAAAUCUACCCCACAAUUAAUGGGGAGAAAUCUACAUUACAUAAGAAAAAUUACCUGUGGAGGCGUAAACAUAGUUACUCAUCUUUAGGCUGGCUUACUAUGGUCUUUGCGCACACUUCAUAGCCCUUAAUCCUAAAGCCGCUCCCAUAGUAAUUGUGAAGGGGCCCUAGGCUGGGCCACAAGAUCAAUAAUCCAACUAUAUAUGAAGCCCAAUUGCAGCAAUGCAGCUUCAGCACAGCUGGCACAGAAAGCGAGAGAGCGAGCUUCUUUUCUACUCAUAAAUAAUUAAAGAGGGAUUUUUUUUCGGGCAUGUCCAGAAAUUCGAUCUCAGUGUUGGAAUUGUAUUGAUAGCAAUGUAAGUGUAGCAUCAUUGUGGAUUGUCUCUUAGCGUGGAAAAUUGGAAAUUGUGUUAACGUCAGAGUAAUGGAGCACCCUCAGACUCGAGACUCUUGAGCCCAGUUCCUCUGCUAUUCAUCAUCACCGCGUAUCUUCUUCUGUUAGAUUUUGGGACAAAAAUGUAUUCCAUGUCACUGAAAAAAGCCUAAUAGCGCGUUCCUUUCGACCGCCAAAAAAAGGCAGUCGUAUAAAAUUGAAAUGAAAAUAGUUAACUUUUUAAAUGUUAAUUGGCUGAUAUUGGUUUAUUAUUUGUUCCAUCAUAUUGCGUUUAUACCUCUCCGUAAGACUGCUAUCUAAGGAUUGACUUAAGAGUUUCUUUACUUUAUAAUAUGUGUAAAUUGUGCUCCCACAGCAAGCCCCCGGAGGCUGGUGUGGUGCCCUUUUUUAUUAAUUCACCUCCACUUUUUCGCAAUAUGCCUUUUUGCGACGGUGAUAUUGCGACCAUUGUUUCCCUUUUGACGGCGAAAAAUGCCGUCGUAAAAAGGUUCCCUGCGACCGGGCAUCACAAUUUGUAAAAGGGAAGAAAAAAUGAAGGACUCGAUUACUUCUGUCGAUGCCCAGCCGUCGUAUAAGACCUUUCACGACGGUAAACAGCCGUCGGCAAAAGGAUCUUUUUUUUUUUUUUCUCUCCUUUUAGUCAUCACCUGUCUCCAUCUUCAUUUCUCCCAUGCCCCCACUUCCACUACUUUUCCUGCCAAUCGUGUAACAGAAAUAUCAUUUGCUCCCUCUCUUCUAAAAUUUCAAAAUUAUAAUAAUAAUAAUUUGCGACGGAAGUUAUCAGUGGCAAGGGCCAUGCACUUAUUGCUGGAAUGGUGCUCAUCAUGGAGUUGGGGAAAGUGGCGUGAUCAAUGUGUCAAACCCAGGUUAGGUUUGACAAACAAGUCUCUUCUUACCUAAUAAGUGCCUGAGAAAAUUUGGAAUAUAUUAAAUAAUAACUAUGCAGAGACGGCCUGAUUAUGCUCUUACUUCAUAUUGUAUCUGUUAUUCAAUAAUGAUAUUUCAUUUAUUUGAAGAUAGUUUUUUACACUUUAGCCAACUUGAUGGUGCACUUCACUUCAUCAUCCUAUAUUUGAUUCUUCAUAAAGAUAAAUUAUUUGUUUGAAAAUAGAAAUAUUACUCAGUAGUUUAUUGUUUUGGAAUUUAGUUGAUUAAACUGAUCUAUCCCUCUUCAGGUAUGUGAUCAGUAACAUUGCUAGAUUAAUUUCAGUUACUGUAGAAUCCACACCCUGUAUGGGACAGAGAUCCUCAAUGUAGCUGGUUCCCACCAGUCAGCAUUCUGGUUUCAGGUCAAUUAGCGAGGGCCUAGCUAAUAUGAUUUACAUUGUUGACAAAUAGUAGUAAGGAAACUGGAGCUAGUUAUUCUUCAACAACCAUAAUGCAAAAACUUGAUGUAUGAGAACCAAAGCUUCUCUAAUCCUAAUUAGAGAGAUAACCCCAGCAACUUUUUUUUUUUAUAAUUUUAUUCUUAUUUUAUCUUUUUAAGAAUGGAAGUCAUGAUCCAAUGUAAGCUAUAGCCAGAUGAGUACACUGAUUUUUUAUUCUAUCUCAUAAAAAAAGAUGGUGCAUAUACAAUGUUCUCCUCUCGCGCCAUUUAAAAAAUGCUAUUUGAAGGAAAUAUUAAAUAAAUAAACAAAGGUAAGCAUGUCUCUUGCUAGAUAUUGUUAGUUAUGGGAUGCUUCAUGCUGAUUUUAGUCAUUUUCUUGUUUUGAGUGGUCUUAUAAAUAGACUGGAAUUUUCAUUUUGUGUUUUCAUAUCCCUAACAAACAAUGGAUCUAUUUCUCCCCUUAAGUUCCAUUGUUGUUGUCUUUUCAUUACUGUUAUUUCUCUACAAUGCAUCCCUCAGAGGGAGAAAGAGUUCUAAUGUUAGGAAGACCCAAAAGGCUCCUGAACCUGCUGGUGCAUGGCCAAUUAUUGGCCAUCUUCACUUAUUAGGUGGUGGUGAUCAGCUCCUCUACCGAACACUUGGAGCAAUGGCUGAUAAGUGGGGACCUGCAUUCAACAUUCGCCUUGGCAGUCGCUCUGCUUUUGUAGUUAGUAGUUGGGAAGUAGUGAAAGAAUGCUUCACUAUUAACGACAAGGCACUUGCUUCACGUCCUAAAACAGCAGCUGCAAAGCACAUGGGCUACGAUUACGCUGUCUUUGGAUUUGCACCUUACACCCCCUUCUGGCGUGAGAUGCGGAAAAUUGCAACACUUGAACUUCUUUCAAACCGUCGGCUUGAGGCACUCAAGCAUGUUCGGAUUUCUGAAGUUGAUAUGGGCCUAAGGGAUCUAUACGGUUUAUGGGCUAAGAAUGACUCGCGCCCUGUGCUUGUUGAACUUAAGAAGUGGCUAGAGGACAUGACAUUGAAUAUGGUUGUUAGAAUGGUGGCUGGAAAACGUUAUUUUGGUGCUUCUGCCACCUGUGAUGAUAGCGAAGCCAGACAGUGCCAGAAGGCAAUCAAUCAGUUCUUUCAUCUGAUUGGCAUUUUUACAGUUUCAGAUGCACUUCCAUUCUUUUGGUGGUUGGAUUGGCAGGGCCAUGAAAUGGCAAUGAAGAAGACAGCCAAGGAAUUGGAUGCUAUACUUGAGGGCUGGCUGGAGGAGCAUCGCCAAAGAAGAGUUUCUGGUGGGAUCGAGAGUGAGAGUGAGCAGGACUUCAUCGAUGUCAUGCUGUCUCUGCAGGAGGAAGGACACUUGUCACAGUUUCAGCAUAGUGCAGAUAUUAGCAUCAAGUCUACCUGCCUGGUAUGUUCAAUAUUCAGAUUCCGAGUAACGUUAAUUGACAGAUCAAUGUCUGACGAAAAAAAUUGUGACAGUAAUGGUUGGUCGGAGCAUUAAAAAAUACCAAGUAAUGGAAUUCACCAAAUGUUACGUCAGACAAAGUCUUCUUUUCAGUUAUUCACUUUAUUUCAGGCAUGCCUUCCGAUGUCAUGACUUGCUGAAUUAUGUUCUUGAGACAAAAUAAGAUCUUCUUAUAUGAGUCAUCAAAUUUAAUGUUGAUGCUUUAUUUAUAAGUUUGUGAAUUAUCAUUGUAGUCAUCUGCUGAACUUUUGUGCAGGCACUCAUCCUUGGUGGUAGUGAUACUACGUCAGGUACCUUGACAUGGGCCAUCUCUUUACUUCUGAACAACCCCAAUAUGCUGAAGAAGGCACAAGAAGAAUUGGACCAACAAAUUGGCAUGGACCGGCAGGUUGAUGAUUCGGAUAUUAAAAACCUUGUGUAUCUCCAAGCCAUCAUCAAAGAGACCCUCCGCCUAUAUCCUGCUGGUCCUCUCUUAGGACCACGGGAAGCAAUGGAAGAUUGCACGGUCGCUGGCUACCAUAUCCCAGCUGGUACCCGCCUGAUCGUAAAUGUAUGGAAAAUUCAAAGGGAUCCAAGGGUUUGGAAAAAUCCAUCUGCUUUCCAACCAGAGAGAUUUCUCACAAGCCAUACAGAUGUUGAUUUUAGGGGCCAACAAUUUGAACUCAUUCCUUUUGGUUCUGGCCGACGCUCGUGCCCUGGUGCAUCAUUUGCUCUCCAAGUCCUUCACCUGACACUUGCUCGACUCCUUCAUGCAUUUGAAUUAGCAACCCCAUCGGAUCAGCCUGUUGACAUGACAGAGAGUCCUGGCUUAACAAUUCCUAAGGCCACCCCAUUGGAGGUCGUCCUUUCUCCUCGCCUCCCUCCCAACCCCUAUGGAUUUUGACAGUAAAUCGAGGCAGUUUUCAGAUUUUGCUUAUAUAAAGCUGCGGAGUUGGUGAAUUUAAAGGGUGCAAUAAAUUAUAUGUACUUAUUACCAGUGGGGGAUUUAUUUGGAAGCUGUUGGGUUGACAAGUGAAUCUAAGCCAUAUGGUUCAAUAUGUACUGUUGUCUAGUUGUGUACUGUAUUCCGAUGUAGUUCUGCUUCCGAAACUAGCUUUGCUAUAUAAUAACACAGUCUCUGUCAAAAAAAAAAAAAGUCUAACUUAAAAUUUAAAGAGUGACGAUACAACCACUAACUGUUAUAUAAAUUUAUUUUGUAUAAAUUAAUUUAAUAUUAAUUUAUUGGUUGAAUUAAAAUAUAAAAUAAUAAAAAUAAAUAAUAUAGAUGAAAAUAUAUUAAAUCCAACCAAUUUAAUCAUGUCACAUAAAUUUAUACAAAAAAAAAAAAUUAUACAAGAGUUUAUCAUUAUAUUAUUACUCAAAAUUUAAAGCUUGAUGUGCGUGUGUAUUUGGUUGUUUCCUUGCGAGUGCAUUAUUUUUCGUACAUCUUCCACAAUAUUGAAUCAAAUAUAACACAUUGUUGCCACUAGCCAACGAUUACCCUUCCAGGCAUCGAAUUUGGGAGGAGUAAUAAUAGGGCUAUAUUCCCUACGCACAUGAGCGUGUAUACAUACAUACAUACAUACAUAUAUACAUACAUACAUACAUACAUACACACACACACACAUAUCUAUAUAUAUAUAUAUAGAGAGAGAGAGAGAGAGAGUCAUUUUCUAACGCAUCAUCACUUUAUUAAAGUAAGAAUGUAUAUUAAAAUACAAGAUUUCAAUACAUAAAAAACUAUGUUUUUUUAUUUGAUUGUGGCAUCCUUACUUUAUUAAAAUAAGAAUGUUCUCACUAGAGAAUUAUUAUUUGUAUAAAUUAUUUUUUGUGCAAACUGAUAUGACAUAAUAUCAUUAGUUGAGUGAAAAUAUAAAAUAAUAAAGAUAAAUUAUAUGGGCUAUGUGGUGGUUUCAUUCAACCAACCUUGCUACGCAUAUUAGUUUGUACAAAAAUGAUAUGUACAAGAAUUUGUAUAUUUAUUAAUUAUUGUUAUGCAAAUUUUAAUGUAUUUGCAAGCGCACAAGUCUAUUGAAGUAUAAGUUAGGAAUAACGAGGUUGAACUCAAAUAAAUUGUCAAAUUUUAAGAAAGCCAACUAUGAUCUAAGUAAAUUAUGAUCUACCCUAAUUGAAAAGAAAAUAUUUGUUUGAUAAAAUCUAAAUUGAAGAUGCAAGAGAAUUAAAGGCGAGAAAAUUAACAUGUGAAUUCAAGAGAUUGAAUCUAUCAGGGUUUCAGAAUUUAUCACUAUUCAACUUAACAAUAGUCUAAUUAUCAAUCAAUUCUCAAUUUUAGAGUGACAAUUCAAAACUAAUCUCUAUCUACUCAUAGAUAUAACAAUUAAGUUAGUUAAAAUUAAUUUUAUAUAGGUCGUUUCUGUACUUAAUAUUGUGAUAUCUAAGCAUUUUAUGUAAAAAAAUAUUAAAUAAUAAAAAGUCAAAAUUUUCCUAAACAAUGUUAAAUAAAUAAUUUCAUGAAAGACAAUGAAUGAAAAAAAAAUCAUAUAUAAACUUUAUAGACCCAAACAUAAGUUUAGUCAAAUAUUAACCUUAACAAUCAAUAAUACAUGGCAAAAUUUGUCAAAAGAUUUAGUAAUAAAUGACCAAAUAUAUGAAAUAAAAUCUAAAAUAUUAAAGCAUACGUGUAGGGAAUCAAUUGAAUAAAAAGUAAAUUAAUUAAAACAAAAAUCAUCGGAAUGCAAUCCGAGUGUAACCCCAUCUGAUUAAGUUAGGAUCAUAUUCGGAUUGAAUGAAUAUUUUAGAUUAAUUUAGUUUAAGAUCGGAUCGGAUUAAAUUCGGAUGCCAAAAAUCAGCUAAAGUUAGGGGCAACAUCGAUGUGGUUGCCAAUUGCCAAAAAAGGCAAGAUUGUCAAGCCAAACUGUGGGCAGAAGCAGAAUUAUAAGAGCAAUAAUGACAACAAAGCAUUGAUUUCCACCAGGGGUCAAUCCAUCAAGUGCAAUUGCCAUGUUUGGAAAAAGAUUCUCCCGUUUAUCUCCUUCCAAGAUCAAGAAUCAAUCAGUAGAGAUCUAUGUUCACGAGAACUGAAACAAUUAGUCUCCCCUUCUUCCCACAGGCGCAGUAUUGGCUGGUCCGUGGGUUGAUGCGAGUUUGUGGGUACCAACUAGGUUUGUGGUUGCGGGUUCGGGAAUCUGCCCAGUGAUGUCGGUGAUGUCGAUGAGGCUGGUUCGGCUCGUGGCUGCCGGCUAGUUCGUGGAUCGUGAGUUUGGACGGUUUCGUGAACUUAUGUCCCAAGUCAAGAUGACAAGUUUUUUGUUCAAUCGUUAAUAUAGUUUAUAUUUUAGUUUUGAUUUCUUCUUCAAUUUUUUGUUUGCCUGGGUUUUUGAACUUCGCGAGAUGUCGCUGAGUUUGAGAAUAUGGAAUUUUGAUUUUGAUUUUCUAAUUUGCUUUUGUAUUUUAGAUUUUUUUUUUUGUUAUUUUUAAGCGUAAUCCAAUUGGAUUAUCCAAAUCAACCCGAAUUCUAUUCGAUCCUUAAAAAUCCGAUUGGAUUACACAAAUAUUAUCCGUUUAGAUACUGAGUAAAUACCCGAAUCCGAUCCUAUACCAAUCCUAUUUUUGUGCAUGCCUCAAUUAAUCAAUCGGCUUGUUCAAUAAAAAUAUAUUAAUUACGAUUAAAUAAUAGUACUAACAAUUAUAGGAUUAGAAAUAGAGGACAACUGUGGAGAUAAAAUUAUGCCCAUC